Molecule: ribosomal RNA, 376 nt
Filed under: uncultured organism
Description: partial 16S ribosomal RNA
Rfam family: Bacterial small subunit ribosomal RNA
Source: RNAcentral
GUAGGUGGCAAGCGUUGUCCGGGAAUUAUUGGGGCGUAAAGCGCGCGCAGGCGGUUCUUUAAGUCUGAUGUGAAAGCCCACGGGCUCAACCGUGGAGGGUCAUUGGAAACUGGAGAACUUGAGUACAGAGGAGGAAAGCGGAAUUCCACGUGUAGCGGUGAAAUGCGUAGAGAUGUGGAGGAACACCAGUGGCGAAGGCGGCUUUCUGGUCUGUAACUGACGCUGAGGCGCGAAAGCGUGGGGAGCAAACAGGAUUAGAUACCCUGGUAGUCCACGCCGUAAACGAUGAGUGCUAAGUGUUAGGGGGUUUCCGCCCCUUAGUGCUGCAGCGAACGCAUUAAGCACUCCGCCUGGGGAGUACGGCCGCAAAGGCUGA